AAAGUGGCUAAAUAACUUUGGGAUGAUAUGUUUAGUGUGUUAUUUAUUGUUCUUUUAUUCGAUUAUUUUAUGAGUAAUGGAAUAAGUAUGAAUUAAGUUGUAUGUAGUAGAAUUUUGUAGGAAUUAAGCU
Molecule: small RNA, 130 nt
Filed under: Arabidopsis thaliana (thale cress)
Lineage: Eukaryota; Viridiplantae; Streptophyta; Magnoliopsida; Brassicales; Brassicaceae
Description: ATSL086060
Source: RNAcentral